This 472-nucleotide ribosomal RNA is filed under the name uncultured bacterium. RNAcentral's name for it is "partial 16S ribosomal RNA". It matches the Rfam family "Bacterial small subunit ribosomal RNA", at positions 28 to 507 of the family's 1533-position model. The record is from RNAcentral.
GACGAACGCUGGCGGCGUGCUUAACACAUGCAAGUCGAACGCUGAAGCUUGGUGCUUGCACUGCGUGUAUGAGUGGCGAACGGGUGAGUAAUACGUGGGUAACCUGCCCUUGACUCUGGGAUAAGCCUGGGAAACUGGGUCUAAUACUGGAUACUACAUGCCACUGCAUGGUGGUGUGGUGAAAGGGUUUUACUGGGUUUGGAUGGGCUCUCGGCCUAUUAGCUUGUUGGUGGGGUAAUGGCCUCCCACGGCGACGACAGGUAGCCGGCCUGAGAGGGUGGCCGGCCACACUGGGCCUGAGAGACGGCCCAGACUCCUACGGGAGGCAGCAGUGGGAAAUCUUGCACAAUGGGCGGAAGCCUGAUGCAGAGACGCCGCGUGCGGGAUGCCGGCCUUCGGGUUGUAAACCUCUUUCAGCGCGGAAGAAGCGAGAGUGACGGUACGUGAAGAAGAAGCGCCGGCUAACUACGUG